GAACCUGAAUUGGGAUACAGCCUAAGGCUGUUCCAAUUCUCAGCACCGCUCCUCUCUUUCCCUGAGUCCUUAGCAAAUCUCCUUCCCACGAUUUCAUCGAGGCCAAGAAAAAGAGUUUAGGAAAAGGAGAUAGGCACUAAUUUUGAAACAACACCCCACGUGGUUACGUUGCGCAGCUGAGUCACGUGACCGCACAUUAACAAAUCACCACAGAGCCAGGAAAAGGGGGCGGACAAAGUGAGUGUGUGCAGGAGAGGAGUCGAGCAGAGAGAGCUGCUUUUUCAUGAAACGGGAGUAAAGUAGUGAACUUACAGGAACAUAUACCACUACCAACGUUUGGAUCGAUAUCUGCAUCGAUCUGCACACCCUUGUCUCCUGGAUCCUAGCUGAGAUCAGCGUGAACCACGUGGGUCUCUGCGCCCUGAUCUGUUUCUUAAGACUUCCAGCUUCAUCACGGAGUUUAUCUCGGUUUGUGGGCUCAUCUAAAGGACCUGCCCUUCCUGUCUGAAGCAGAGACCAGUGAGACCUAUUCCAGACUGUUUGAAAGUGUGGUGACUGUGAUAAAGAAAGAAAAAAUCAGCAAGAGAAUAAGGAGACUGACGAACAGGUGGAGGAAGAGAAUGCCACAGAGGAGGCUCAUCACCCACAUAUCAAAGACCAGGGGUGUCCAAAGUUUUUUAACUGAGGGCCACAUAUAUAAAAAUAUAGGAGGGGCUGGGCCACUUACUAGAAAUUAGGUAUAUAGCCUUAACUUUAGUGUAUUAAAGUU
This is a long non-coding RNA of Oreochromis niloticus (Nile tilapia), 769 nucleotides long. RefSeq lists it as uncharacterized. The transcript has 3 exons. NCBI's taxonomy places the organism in Eukaryota, Metazoa, Chordata, Actinopteri, Cichliformes, Cichlidae. The record is from RefSeq and is a predicted model, not a curated record.